AUGGGGUAGAGUGCGAGGCAAUCUGCACCAGAUUUAGGAUCUGGCGGGGCAACCCGUGGGGGUUCGACUCCCCCUCCUCGCACCA
Molecule: transfer RNA, 85 nt
Filed under: Gemmatimonadota bacterium
Lineage: Bacteria; Pseudomonadati; Gemmatimonadota
Description: tRNA-Leu
Source: RNAcentral